GUCCAGCUUGCUGGAUGCUGACGAGCGGCGGACGGGUGAGUAAUGCAUAGGAAUCUACCCGGUAGUGGGGGAUAACCUGGGGAAACCCAGGCUAAUACCGCAUACGUCCUACGGGAGAAAGGGGGCUUUGGCUCCCGCUAUCGGAUGAGCCUAUGCCGGAUUAGCUGGUUGGUGAGGUAACGGCUCACCAAGGCGACGAUCCGUAGCUGGUCUGAGAGGAUGAUCAGCCACAUCGGGACUGAGACACGGCCCGAACUCCUACGGGAGGCAGCAGUGGGGAAUAUUGGACAAUGGGGGCAACCCUGAUCCAGCCAUGCCGCGUGUGUGAAGAAGGCCCUCGGGUUGUAAAGCACUUUCAGCGAGGAAGAACGCCUAUCGGUUAAUACCCGGUAGGAAAGACAUCACUCGCAGAAGAAGCACCGGCUAACUCCGUGCCAGCAGCCGCGGUAAUACGGAGGGUGCAAGCGUUAAUCGGAAUUACUGGGCGUAAAGCGCGCGUAGGUGGCUUGAUAAGCCGGUUGUGAAAGCCCCGGGCUCAACCUGGGAACGGCAUCCGGAACUAUCAGGCUAGAGUGCAGGAGAGGAAGGUAGAAUUCCCGGUGUAGC
RNAcentral lists this ribosomal RNA (606 nucleotides) under Vreelandella subterranea. RNAcentral's name for it is "bacterial SSU rRNA". It matches the Rfam family "Bacterial small subunit ribosomal RNA", at positions 73 to 679 of the family's 1533-position model. Lineage: Bacteria; Pseudomonadati; Pseudomonadota; Gammaproteobacteria; Oceanospirillales; Halomonadaceae. The record is from RNAcentral.